CUCUUAGCUGGUUUGGCAUGUGCAGGAAAGUGGGUCUUCUUCAGAAGGUGCUGGACAGACAAACAGUUAUUUUUCAAUGGACAUUUCCACACUUAACAAAAAAACCCCACUUUCGUUCAAAUUUUUGCCUCAGAAGUCAUUUAGCUUGAUCUUGCCUUAUUUUGCUUGCUAGAAAUAAUGACAAAAUAAGUUAUUAAUGAAAGAGACAUGGAGGCAGAAUUUCCCAUGACAGUAAAUCACUGUUACACAGCUCUCAUUGUCCAGCAGCACGCACUCAAAAUGUGACUAGUCCCGACUGCUUGGGGCUGUUGAUUUUGUGUAUGAGAAUUUCCUGUAAUAGCUUGGGGGCCUGCAUACAGCCAGUCCCUGGCAUGGCACGUUUGCCAGCAAGCCUCUUUCCAAUUUACCAAGGGAAAACCUGGGAUCCAUGGCAGACUGGGAAAGAGCUCAGAAAUUCCUCCCCAGAGCUGCAUUUCUGCGUGCGGCCAUGCAGCGGCACAGGAGACCAGGAAUCUGCGGGACGGGGUGAGCGAGAGGCAGGAGCUGCUCAGGUGCGGGGCUGGCAGGUUCCCUGGUGCCCAAAUGGGUUCAUCCAUGUCCAUGAGAGCUUGAACUGCUUCAUGCAAACCCUGGGGGUCCGUGCUGCUGUUCUCUGAUUCCCCAGGGCAGACACUCCAAGGACGGCUGUGAAAUGGAACUUAAAAGUAACGUUAAAAGUAACUCUGCCUUGUUACUUAACUCACUCUAGUUGUGUUUCAGGUAGACUUAUGGCAUGGGGAAAAUGUUGUUUGUUUGUUUUUUCAAAACUUUAUCAGAAUAAAAGCAAGAACUUAAAUGCUCUAAAUCUAUUC
Molecule: long non-coding RNA, 851 nt
Filed under: Junco hyemalis (dark-eyed junco)
Lineage: Eukaryota; Metazoa; Chordata; Aves; Passeriformes; Passerellidae
Description: lncRNA (ENSJHYG00000015175.1)
Source: RNAcentral